This 64-nucleotide ribosomal RNA is filed under the name Psophocarpus tetragonolobus (winged bean). Its description in RNAcentral is "partial large subunit ribosomal RNA". Lineage: Eukaryota; Viridiplantae; Streptophyta; Magnoliopsida; Fabales; Fabaceae. The record is from RNAcentral.
GAGAUCUCAGGUCAGGCGGGGCUAUCCGCUGAGUUUAAGCAUAUCAAAAACGGCGGAGAAAAAA